Molecule: non-coding RNA, 4007 nt
Organism: Salmo salar (Atlantic salmon)
Lineage: Eukaryota; Metazoa; Chordata; Actinopteri; Salmoniformes; Salmonidae
Source: RefSeq, a predicted model, not a curated record
UCUUCCCUCCCUCCUACUCUUCUUCUCUCCCUCCUACUCUUCUUCCCUCCCUCCUACUCUUCUUCUCUCCCUCCUACUCUUCUUCUCUCCCUCCUUCUCUUCUUCUCUCCCUACUACUCUUCUUCCCUCCCUCCUACUCUUCUUCUCUCCCUCCUACUCUUCUUCCCUCCCUCCAACUAUUCUUCCCUCCCUCCUUCGCUUCUCCUUCCCUCCUUCAGGCUACUACAACCUUCAACAUCUGUGUCUCUUGUCAAAACCUAAAUCUCUCUGGUCUGAACCUAGAGAUGUGUAGUGCUCUACUAAACAGAUGCUCUGACAGGAAUGUUCUUUCUGCUCAGUGUACUUUAAGUGAACCGUGAGAGGGCUGACAGAGCUAUGGAAUAAUUGGUAGAGGAUUUAUGCUGAGAUUUUGGACCACAGAUUUGUAAUGAACAGUCACUGUACUGUACUGUACCGUAGCUGUUUAAUACAGUAGCACUCACGUGUGACCAAAUGCUAUCAUAGACAAAACGCCAAGUCAGUACUUUUUCUGUUUACAAUUAUUCCAAAAAACAUUAAGUUGUUCAUACUGAGCAGUUCAGCAUAUAAUUAUAUCAUAGUAUGUAAUGUAUUUCAAACCAGAUUUUCCAUCCAGUAAAUUGCUAUUAUUACUGGAAUUUUAUGCCAGUUGGAAGUUUUGAAACAAAAUAUAUUUGUUUACGUCCCAAACUGCACUUUAUUCCCUGCAUGGUGCACUACUGUUGACCAAAGCCCUAUGGGCCCUGUUCAGAAGGGCACUAUAUCAGGAAAAGGGUGGGAUUUGUGACACAAACUCUAUUUCAGUCAUAGUAGUACGGGCAGCUCUGGUUAGCCUUAGUAUUAUGGUACAUCUGUAUUGGUCUCUCUAGGUACCAGGGUAGUAUGGUCUGUCUGUAUUGGUCUCUCUAGGUACCAGGGUAGUAUGGUCUGUCUGUAUUGGUCUCUCUAGGUACCAGGGUAGUAUGGUCUGUCUGUAUUGGUCUGUCUAGGUACCAGGGUAGUAUGGUCUGUCUGUAUUGGUCUCUCUAGGUACCAGGGUAGUAUGGUCUGUCUGUAUUGGUCUCUCUAGGUACCAGGGUAGUAUGGUCUGUCUGUAUUGGUCUCUCUAGGUACCAGGGUAGUAUGGUCUGUCUGUAUUGGUCUGUCUAGGUACCAGGGUAGUAUGGUCUGUCUGUAUUGGUCUGUCUAGGUACCAGGGUAGUAUGGUCUGUCUGUAUUGGUCUCUCUAGGUACCAGGGUAGUAUGGUCUGUCUGUAUUGGUCUCUCUAGGUACCAGGGUAGUAUGGUCUGUCUGUAUUGGUCUGUCUAGGUACCAGGGUAAGGGUGGAGACCAGGAUAAGUUCAGGGCAGACGCUUGAAGGGAGGUUCUCCUCUCUUGUUCUAUGAAAGCAGAAGCCUGGAAUACACCCUGAUCUGUUGUUUUAUCAGUGAAAAUACACAAGUGUAAUUAGAGUGAUAUUCAGCUCAAAUAUCAGCUCAAAUUCCAGGUUUGAAAACCAAAGUGUUCAUUUGCAAAUAAAGGGAAUUGUGUACAAGUGCAAUGGGACUUUAUCUAGCUGGGUUAUAUUUGAAAGGGUAUGUUAUGCUGUGAGGAAAAUAUGUUUUUCAGAGACAUUUAUAUUGUAUGCAGUGAGUUGGUGAGGAAAGGGGCAGCCAGGCGUGGGGUGAUUGUGACUUUGACCCCCAUUCCUUGUCAGAGUUCAAACGACAACCCAAUGCUGUUGAAUGGGUUGGAAACAUAGGCUACAUCCUAAAUGGCAGCCUAGUCCCUAUAUAGUGCACUACUUUAGAGCAGAGCCCUAUGGCAUCCUAUUCCUUAUAUAUAGUGCACUACUUUAGACAGAGCCCUUUGGCACCCUAUUCCCUAUAUAGUGCACUACUUUAGACCAGCGCUCUAUGGCACCCUAUUCCCUAUAUAGUGCACUACUUUAGACCAGAGCCCUAUAGCACCCUAUUCCCUAUAUAGUGCACUACUUUGGACCAGGACCCAAGUAUAGAGUGUCAUUUGGUAUGCAACUACACACAGCCCUAAUCUGAAGUAUACAAAACCAAUUAGGCUUUAUAUAGAUGGGUUCCACUGGGAUAAUGUUGUGUAUGGUUACAGCGGGUAAUGUUGUGUAUGGUUACAAGGGGUAAUGUUGUGUAUGGUUACAGGGGGUAAUGCUGUGUAUGGUUACAGUGGGUAAUGUUGUGUAUGGUUACAGGGGGUAAUGUUGUGUAUGGUUACAAGGGGUAAUGUUGUAUGGUUACAGGGGGUAAUGUCGUGUAUUGUUACAGGGGGUAAUGCUGUGUAUGGUUACAGUGGGUAAUGUAGUGUAUGGUUACAGGGGGUAAUGUUGUGUAUGGUUACAAGGGGUAAUGUUGUAUGGUUACAGGGGGUAAUGUCGUGUAUUGUUACAGGGGGUAAUGCUGUGUAUGGUCACAGCGGGUAAUGUAGUGUAUGGUUACAGGGAGUAAUGUUGUGUAUGAUUACAAGGGGUAAUGUUGUGUAUGGUUACAGGGAGUAAUGCUGUGUAUGGUCACAGCGGGUAAUGUAGUGUAUGGUUACAGCGGGUAAUGUAGUGUAAGGUUAUCAGGGAUACUGUUGUGUAUGGUUAAAGGGGGUAAGGACGUGUAUGGUUACAGGGAGUAAUGUUGUAUGGCUACAGGGGGUAAUGUUGUAUGGUUACAGUGGGUAAUGUUGUAUGGUUACAGGGGGUAAUGUUGUAUGGUUACAAGGGGUAAUGUUGUAAAGGAAACAUAGUACUACCAUGAGUUGGUGGGGAGGCCAUGGUGGUUAUUGCGUGAGUUACUUUGACCCCCGUCCCUUUAAGAGAUCAAACAACGACAUGAGAUAAUUCAUCUCCUAGUCCAAUUCAGUGGGAGUUCCAACUUUACUCUAUAUCAGUUUCUGUUCUGUCCCUAGUUCUCUUUCUGUCGUAGAAAGACGUACUUGUUGUUGCAGUCUUUUAUGGGCGAUGCCACCACCCUUUCUUUUUUAGGACCGUAUGUUUUUAAUGUUGUAAUUAUGAAACGAUAAAGACAAAACAUGUUAUGUCAAAAUGUAGUAUACUUAUAAAAAAAUGUUUAACUAAAAUGUAAUCUAUGUAAUCCCCAAAGGGCCAUAAAUAUUAACUAGUGAUGCUACAUAUUCACAGAAAGGUUCAAAUCUCACCUUUCUGGUAAAAAAAUAGUUGUAAAUUGCUGAGGUGUAGUCACUUUAAGACACAAGCUCAAGUAUACAGUACAAAUAUGAUACAUAUUUUAUAUUACGUAAUUCCUUUUCAACAAAACUGUAUGAAUAAGUCUUGAAAUGACUUAUAUGCUUUCUAAAUAUAUUAUAAUCAAAUUAUAAAACCUCUAAGUAUAAGAUAGUACCUUCCUUAUAACUGUAAAAUACAUAUUUGUAUGUUUAGUGUUAGAGAAAAUGUGCACAUUUUCUAAAAGUAUUUUCUUUUGUUUAAAACAAGCUCUAGCUUGGCCUUCCUGAACUCGUUAGUAACUCGCCUUUCAUCUCACAUUCAUAUGACAAAUCUGUGAAAAAACAACGUUGUUUUUUUUGUUGUUUAAAAUCUAUGAAUUAUUUUAGAUGAAUGGCUGUAAAUCAAUCUCUGAUGAAACCACUCUCUACUGCUGUGCUACGAUGUCAGGAUUUCAGUCAUGUGUUUUGUCAGUUGCUGUGACGUAAGGUUCAGCCAGGAGGUGAUGGACAGUCGGAAGAGUGAAUGAAGGACAUCCCAGUGUCAAGUGGUUUCAGAUUUCACAUCCUACAUUGCACAGGCUCAGAAAAUAUACUACUGUGUCCGUGGGAACAAGGACUGUCGUUCACAGCAAGCCAUUUCCAUAUACGUUGUCUACAUAUCGAUUUAUAAGUGAAAAUGUUGGUUGGAACCGGUACCAGAACAACACAGGUCCCCCAAACAGGGGACUUUACAUCAGUAUAGGCCAUAGGUUUACAUUACAGUGUUGUUUUAUUUAAUCCAGAUGAAAAUAAAGUUGUACCUAAAAUA